RNAcentral lists this ribosomal RNA (569 nucleotides) under Pediococcus parvulus. RNAcentral's name for it is "bacterial SSU rRNA". It matches the Rfam family "Bacterial small subunit ribosomal RNA", at positions 315 to 875 of the family's 1533-position model. The record is from RNAcentral. Lineage: Bacteria; Bacillati; Bacillota; Bacilli; Lactobacillales; Lactobacillaceae.
GGGACUGAGACACGGCCCAGACUCCUACGGGAGGCAGCAGUAGGGAAUCUUCCACAAUGGACGAAAGUCUGAUGGAGCAACGCCGCGUGAGUGAUGAAGGCUUUAGGGUCGUAAAACUCUGUUGUUGGAGAAGUACGUGUGUGAGAGUAACUGCUCAUGCAGUGACGGUAUCCAACCAGAAAGCCACGGCUAACUACGUGCCAGCAGCCGCGGUAAUACGUAGGUGGCAAGCGUUAUCCGGAUUUAUUGGGCGUAAAGCGAGCGCAGGCGGUCUUUUAAGUCUAAUGUGAAAGCCUUCGGCUUAACCGAAGAAGUGCAUUGGAAACUGGAAGACUUGAGUGCAGAAGAGGACAGUGGAACUCCAUGUGUAGCGGUGAAAUGCGUAGAUAUAUGGAAGAACACCAGUGGCGAAGGCGGCUGUCUGGUCUGUAACUGACGCUGAGGCUCGAAAGCAUGGGUAGCGAACAGGAUUAGAUACCCUGGUAGUCCAUGCCGUAAACGAUGAAUGCUAAGUGUUGGAGGGUUUCCGCCCUUCAGUGCUGCAGCUAACGUAUUAAGCAUUCCGCCUG